This 688-nucleotide long non-coding RNA is filed under the name Pan troglodytes (chimpanzee). RNAcentral's name for it is "long non-coding RNA NONPTRT009496". Lineage: Eukaryota; Metazoa; Chordata; Mammalia; Primates; Hominidae. The record is from RNAcentral.
ACACAGCAUUAUAAAAAGAUUAUAUAAUUACAUAGCAGAUAUACAGAUAUAUGCACGCGUUUGCACGCUGAUUAGAGUUACUUGCAUUGACUUUUGCUUUAGAGGAAAUAAAAAAGGAAAAUCUUUAAAUAGUUCUUCAUCAAUUAAAAGGUAACAAUUUGUAACAGAUUCAACUAUGAACAGGUAUUGCGUCAAUAUGUCUACAAUAGAAAAACAUAAAUAUAUAAAAACAAAGGCAAAGGGGUCAGCUACACAUAUUAACUUACCAAACAUACAUGUUCUGUUGAAAAACUGAUCCCCAUUCACACCCUCCAGGUGGGAGGAUAAGACUAUAAAAAUGGGAAGCCAGUGUGUGGGUGUGGUGUUCUAUUUUAUUAGCAAUUUGGAUGAUAGGAUGUUUUGCUACUGUUUUUAGUUGGCCAAUGACAUAAUAGUGAGAUACUGAUUAUUAAGCCUGGGAAGCUGGUCAUGGAUAUGGGGUUGUCAACCCUAAACCCACGUACUUCAUAAUUUCCUAACCUUCCCCUUCAAGGCCAGAUGCAUUUCAACCUGCCAGAAGGGGCACGUUAGGGCCCCCUAAGAGGCACGAUUGUUUGAGUAACUUCCCCAGAAACGGACAUGUCUGCUGCUGCCUCAGCUGCAGCACUGUCAUUGGGCAAGCUGUUUUCUAGAGGCUCAUAGGCAGGUG